Myotis daubentonii (Daubenton's bat) is the source of this 2009-nucleotide long non-coding RNA. RefSeq lists it as uncharacterized. Lineage: Eukaryota; Metazoa; Chordata; Mammalia; Chiroptera; Vespertilionidae. The record is from RefSeq and is a predicted model, not a curated record. The transcript has 2 exons.
CUCCUGAAAUGUCGGAAUUUUACCUUAUUUUUUUUUAAGUUUUGCAUUUUAAUAACUAAACUUUUUUUUCUUUCUGGCCUGAGUAAAAUAGGGACAUAAUUGUCCUGGCUGAUGGGCCUGUGAUGUGUCACAUUAACGCUGCUGCAGAAUUUAGGAAACUUAAUGACUGAAAGUGUUAACUAUUAACCUGAGCCCGCCAGGGAAAGCCGCCUUUGUGUUGGUGCGCGGUCGCACGCUUGUGUUUCUUCUGACAACAAUAGCGAGGCCGGGACCGAGGCCAGGAGAAGAGGGAGGUGCACGGUUUUGCCUGUGACGUUUACAGGCCGGGGUAGCGGGUGUGGGUGGAUCAAGAGUCGCGUUCUCUGAGAACAUACUCCUCUGAAAGUAUUUCAUUUGAAGUCAUGUGUAGAGGGAGUCACGAAAUCCUUUUUUCUUUCUUUUUUUUUUAUUUCAGAGAGGAAGGGAGAGGGAUAGAGAGAGAAACAUCAAUGAGAGAGAAUCAUUCGUUGAUUGGCUGCCUCCCGCACGCCCCCUACUGUGGGGUGGGGCCCGCAGCCGGGGCACGUGCCCUUGGCCGGAGUCCAACCUGGGACAGCUCUGUCCGCAGGCUGACGCUCUACCCACUGCGCCACACCAGUGAGGGCCAUUUUUUUCUAACAGCGUUAAUCAUGACACCUGCUGCUCUGGAAGAGAUUGGCGAUCGCAUAGCUCACUUUGCAGGUCGUUGGAAGGAAGUUCCUGGGGUUCUGUCCAUGUGAAAGCUUAAGCUGGAAAGGCAGAGCAUAUGUCCAUCAUUUGUAACUGUUUUUGGAUUUGGCUGUGAAAUCACCCUCUGCUAAGCUCUCCUUGUUCUUCAAGGCGAGCACAUGCUGUGACUAAUUUCUGUUCACUCAGAACUUAAAAGUGUUUCUUUAAACAUUGUACAGAGCUGAGUGUAAAAAUCUUAAUUUUUCUUUAAUAGAAAGUUCUGCUUUGUGGUGUUUUUUUAAGGGUUGAAGGAAGGUAUGAACAUAGUAAGUUAGCUUACAAUUUCUCUCUGUAAACAAAGUUCGAGUUCCCCAGAAAGUUUUCCUGGCUGAAGAAAGAAAAGGUGAGUCAUUUAAGAUUAUUAUUGAUUUCAGAGAAGGGAAAGGAGGAGAGAGAGAAAGAGAGAAACAUCAAUGAUGAGAGAGAAUCAUUGAUCAGUUGCCUCCUGCAUGCACCCUACAGGGAUCGGGCCCACACUCUCCGCUCGGCCAAACUGGCUACUUAAUCUUUGCUUUUUUAAUAAACCAAUUGGAUGAAAUACUAUGCCUACUUACCUUCUAAAUUGUUUAUUUCUUUCCUUAUCAAUGUCUGUCUAUAUUUUGGUCUGCCUUAAAAUUAUUUUAAUAUAAACAGUUCCAAUUUUAACUCCAGUUUGGGACAUCACAUGUAAUAAACAUUUUAUUUUCUUCCUCUCAGAGAUCAACAGGUAAGUCCUCGUCUCAGUGUUCCUUAAGGAGCAAGCCUGUCCAUUUUCCCAAAGGAAAAAGAGGGUCAGUGGCCUUUUCCAUUCGUUUAUGUAAUACAUCUUUGGUUUUAUAGUAGAUCUGUUUGUUGCCAUAAUUAAUCCAUUUAAAGCCUAAAAGAAGGUAAAGCUUUUGAUGUAUUGAUUACCAUACUGCAGGUUAGACAUGCUGUUUUCCAAGCAUGUAUAUCCAACGUGUGCUCCUGACUUGGAUAAUUUCCUUAGAAGCAUUUUGAAAGUAGAAGCAUACAUUAGAGAAAUGUGUUAAUUUAUUUUGGUUUUUUUCUGACUAUUAAUAUUUAAAAGUGGUAUUAUUUCAACCCUAGCUGGUUUGGCUCAGCAGAUAGAGAGCGCAUCGGUCUGCAGACUAAAAGGUUCGGGUUGGAUUCUGGUCAAGGGCAUAUGCCCACUUUGCGGUCUCGAUCCCCAGUAGGGGGCCUGCAGGAAGCAGCCAAUGAUUCUCUCGACGUUUCUCCCCUCUCCCUUCCUCUUUAAAACCAAUUAAAAUAUUUUUAAAUAA